CAUAGGAUUGUUACAAGGAUUAAAUGAGAUCGCCCUCGAAAAGCACAAGGCACAGUGCCUGGCACAGCAUAAAUACUCAAUAAGUACAAUUAGGUGACCUGGCUUUGUUCUCAGCAGGGCCUAGGUCAGAAGCUCCCUUCCCUGCUGUCUUUACACAGAUGUUAGCCCUGUGGAGACAGAACUCCAGGUGAUUGGACCAUAGGUGGACAUCUGACCCUAAGGAAAGCAGUCAUUUGAAGGCAGAAUCAGCUACACUGAAAAGCGAGUCCCUGUCUCAAAAAAACAAAACAAACAAGCAAAUAAUCAGCUACACUGUCUUCCAGGACUUUAGACAAAGAAAGAAAGAGGGAACAAUAGAUAUUUUUCAGAUUUCAAGGGACACAUUUUACAUUGUACAUGCACUUGUAGUGCCUGGCAUCAUCUUGUGGCUUCUCAGUGAAUCAGCUGGAUGUGAAUGUGGUCCGUGAAUGGAGGUUUUGGGCUCUCUGGAGGCUCCUUCAUUGUGAUGAAUACAGACCAAGUCUGCCUGACAAACAAAGAAUUUCCUGGCAAUUUAGAGUUGUUUACAGAAUUGAAGAAAGGCUGAAAAUCUCAAAGACUGGCAGGAAGCAGGGAGUUCUGAGGUGGCAAGAAUGAAGGAACCAUGCAUACUUUCAGAAUUGCCCUUGCCUAGAAUGAACUCCUGCAGCCCAUCAGUCUUCUCAAGAUUCCAUUUCCAGGAUAAUUCUGGGUCAAUGUCUAUCUCAUCUAUGCUGCCCGUUUCUCAGGGGACAGGCAUUGUACUUGAAUCUGGAACUACAGCAGGGAACAAGGCACAUUGAAGGCAAUAAAUGAAAAGAUCUCAAUAAAGUCUUUGGCACAAUGUCUGACAGGAUCAAUAACUUCUUCAUCUUCACCUUCACAUCAUCAUCAAUGCCACAGAGAAGAGUAGCCAGAGA
This is a long non-coding RNA of Heterocephalus glaber (naked mole-rat), 938 nucleotides long. The record is from Ensembl. Lineage: Eukaryota; Metazoa; Chordata; Mammalia; Rodentia; Bathyergidae.